UGAUGGGCUUAGAUGAUG
This 18-nucleotide non-coding RNA is filed under the name Arabidopsis thaliana (thale cress). The record is from RNAcentral. Lineage: Eukaryota; Viridiplantae; Streptophyta; Magnoliopsida; Brassicales; Brassicaceae.